This 626-nucleotide ribosomal RNA is filed under the name uncultured bacterium. Its description in RNAcentral is "bacterial SSU rRNA". It matches the Rfam family "Bacterial small subunit ribosomal RNA", at positions 249 to 885 of the family's 1533-position model. The record is from RNAcentral.
UUGGUGGGGUGAUGGCCUACCAAGGCGACGACGGGUAGCCGGCCUGAGAGGGUGUCCGGCCACACUGGGACUGAGAUACGGCCCAGACUCCUACGGGAGGCAGCAGUGGGGAAUAUUGCACAAUGGGCGCAAGCCUGAUGCAGCGACGCCGCGUGAGGGAUGACGGCCUUCGGGUUGUAAACCUCUUUCAGUAUCGACGAAGCGCAAGUGACGGUAGGUACAGAAGAAGCACCGGCCAACUACGUGCCAGCAGCCGCGGUAAUACGUAGGGUGCGAGCGUUGUCCGGAAUUACUGGGCGUAAAGAGCUCGUAGGUGGUUUGUCGCGUUGUUCGUGAAAACUCACAGCUCAACUGUGGGCGUGCGGGCGAUACGGGCAGACUGGAGUACUGCAGGGGAGACUGGAAUUCCUGGUGUAGCGGUGGAAUGCGCAGAUAUCAGGAGGAACACCGGUGGCGAAGGCGGGUCUCUGGGCAGUAACUGACGCUGAGGAGCGAAAGCGUGGGGAGCGAACAGGAUUAGAUACCCUGGUAGUCCACGCCGUAAACGGUGGGUACUAGGUGUGGGUUUCCUUCCUUGGGAUCCGUGCCGUAGCUAACGCAUUAAGUACCCCGCCUGGGGAGUACGG